This 253-nucleotide ribosomal RNA is filed under the name uncultured bacterium. Its description in RNAcentral is "partial 16S ribosomal RNA". It matches the Rfam family "Bacterial small subunit ribosomal RNA", at positions 524 to 776 of the family's 1533-position model. The record is from RNAcentral.
UACAGAGGGUGCAAGCGUUAAUCGGAAUUACUGGGCGUAAGGGGCGCGUAGGCUGUGCUGUAAGUCAGGCGUGAAAUCCCCGGGCUCAACCUGGGAAUUGCGUUUGAUACUGCGGCGCUGGAAUGCAGGAGAGGAUGGCGGAAUUCCCAGUGUAGAGGUGAAAUUCGUAGAUAUUGGGAAGAACACCGGUGGCGAAGGCGGCCAUCUGGCCUGUAAUUGACGCUGAGGCGCGAAAGCGUGGGGAUCAAACAGG